AUGAUACGUCAAUACUGGUGGGGAGUGGAGAACGGGAAGAAAAGGAUGGCCUGGAUGAGCUGGGACAAACUGAGGCUCCCUAAAUCCAUGGGUGGCAUGGGGUUUAGGAACAUGAGGUCUUUUAACCAAGCCUUGUUAGCAAAACAAGCGUGGCGAUUACUGGAUACGCCGGAGAGCCUUUGUGCACGACUACUAAAGGCAAAAUAUUACCCUUCUGGACAUUUGUUGGAUAUGGUAUUCUCGGGCAAUGGUUCUUCAGUUUGGAAAGGUAUUUUGCAUGGUCUCGAGUUGCUCAAGAAAGGUGUCAUUUGGAGGGUGGGGAACGACGCUGAUAUCCACACUUGGAGGGAUCCUUGGAUCCCCUGUCCAUCGACGUUUCGCCCUAUCUCACCGAAGGGCAAUUGCCGCUUGAACCGGGUGGCUGAUGUUCUUGAUGAAAACGAUGCUUGGCGUGUGGAUCGCCUUCGUGAGUUUUUUUGGCCUAUGGACGUGGAGUACAUAGUAAAAAUCAGAGCAUCGCCCCGUCAGCGUGGUGAUUUCUUGUCCUGGUUCCCGGAGAAAUGCGGAGUAUUCACGGUGAAGAGUGCUUACAAGCUAGCCACAUGUGAUCACAAUGCGGCCUUUGCAAAUGGCUCUUCUAGCUCAAACCCAGAGGGGAAUCGUUCACUUUGGAACCGAGUUUGGUCGGCCAACGUGCCUCAGAAGAUGAAGAUUACAGCUUGGAGAGUGGUUACCGGUACGUUGGCUACUCAACAGUGCAAGAAUUACAGGCAUUUGGCCACACGUUCACUGUGUCCUCUCUAUGGGGUGGAGGAGGAGAGUACCUUUCAUGCCCUGAUCGCUUGCACUCAGGCAAGGAUCUUGUGGAUCAACAUGAUGGCCGCUUCCCAACGACGACCUCCUCAUUGA
RNAcentral lists this ribosomal RNA (909 nucleotides) under Triticum aestivum (bread wheat). Its description in RNAcentral is "partial small subunit ribosomal RNA". Lineage: Eukaryota; Viridiplantae; Streptophyta; Magnoliopsida; Poales; Poaceae. The record is from RNAcentral.